GGCCUCAGCAUUUUGGCUACCUUUUGCUGAUCUUAGCUAUGCAAGGUUGAGCCUGGUUAGUACUCAAAUGGGUUACCAUCUAGAAUUGCCAAGUGCUGUGGCCU
Molecule: ribosomal RNA, 104 nt
Filed under: Salvator merianae (Argentine black and white tegu)
Lineage: Eukaryota; Metazoa; Chordata; Lepidosauria; Squamata; Teiidae
Source: RNAcentral